This is a long non-coding RNA of Trachemys scripta elegans, 549 nucleotides long. RefSeq lists it as uncharacterized. The record is from RefSeq and is a predicted model, not a curated record. Lineage: Eukaryota; Metazoa; Chordata; Testudines; Emydidae. The transcript has 4 exons.
CCCCGCGACCCGAUAUUUGACUUGGGUGAUCUGGUCACCCUAAUGCUAAGGCGAGCGGAACUAAUGUGUUUGUCUACCUAUGCUGGUUUUUUUACCUACAUCUUAUCGGAAAGCAUGAGCUACUGAACUACGAUUACUAUUCUGGAUGUAGCUGUCAUUGGCACAGUGCUUUCACUGAAGUCUAGAACUGGAAGCUGUAUCAUUCUAUAUGUUCUGCUAACCUAUCACUUGAUGGGAGGAUAGAACAGAAAUGGCUGCCCUAGCAUUGGAUCAAGCAUCAGCAAAUGUAGAGAUGAGUGAAAGUUGGAAAUUUCUACAAAAUUCCUAACAAAUGAUUAAAGGAAAGAAAGGAAGAAUGGAAGCCAAGAAAAAGAGAUCCAGGAUUCAGCACCCUUCUGAGGAGCCACGUGACCAUUUGAUCCACAGGGAGCCAAGUGAGCGGGUAUCUUGGGACCCUUCAACAAAAUGACCGUUAAACUGUAAUGCUGCUGCAAAAAAGCCUGCUAGGAGAAGUGGCGUUUUAGUGCAAACACAGGUGUAUAUUUGGAG